This 474-nucleotide ribosomal RNA is filed under the name uncultured bacterium. Its description in RNAcentral is "bacterial SSU rRNA". It matches the Rfam family "Bacterial small subunit ribosomal RNA", at positions 365 to 830 of the family's 1533-position model. The record is from RNAcentral.
UUCGCAAUGCCCGAAAGGGUGACGAAGCGACGCCGCGUGUGGGAAGAAGGCCUUCGGGUUGUAAACCACUGUCGGGAGUUAAGAAGUGUAGGGGGGUUAAUAGUCUCCUUACUUGACGUUAGCUCCGGAGGAAGCCACGGCUAACUCUGUGCCAGCAGCCGCGGUAAUACAGAGGUGGCAAGCGUUGUUCGGAAUUAUUGGGCGUAAAGAGCACGUAGGCGGCCCUGCAAGUCAGCUGUGAAAUCCUUCUGCUCAACGGAAGAACGGCAGUUGAUACUAUAGGGCUCGAGUGCGGGAGGGGAGAGUGGAACUUCUGGUGGAGCGGUGAAAUGCGUAGAUAUCAGAAGGAACAUCGGCGGCGAAGGCGACUCUCUGGCCCGUAACUGACGCUGAGGUGCGAAAGCUAGGGGAGCAAACGGGAUUAGAUACCCCGGUAGUCCUAGCCGUAAACGAUGGGCACUAAGUAGAGGGGUU